GAUCCUGGCUCAGAAUCAACGCUGGCGGCGUGCCUAACACAUGCAAGUCGAACGCGAAAGUCCCGAAAGGGAUGAGUAGAGUGGCAAACGGGUGAGUAACACGUGGGUGACCUACCCUCGAGCGGGGGAUAACGUCCCGAAAGGGACGCUAAUACCGCAUAACAUCCUGCCUUUGAAGAGGCGGUGAUCAAAGCUGGGAUCGCAAGACCUAGCACUCGAAGAGGGGCCCGCGUCCGAUUAGCUAGUUGGUGGGGUAAUGGCCCACCAAGGCAACGAUCGGUAGCCGGCCUGAGAGGGCGGACGGCCACACUGGGACUGAGACACGGCCCAGACUCCUACGGGAGGCAGCAG
This 351-nucleotide ribosomal RNA is filed under the name uncultured Acidobacteriota bacterium. RNAcentral's name for it is "bacterial SSU rRNA". It matches the Rfam family "Bacterial small subunit ribosomal RNA", at positions 15 to 354 of the family's 1533-position model. Lineage: Bacteria; Pseudomonadati; Acidobacteriota. The record is from RNAcentral.